UACGUAGGGGGCAAGCGUUGUCCGGAUUUAUUGGGCGUAAAGAGCGUGUAGGCGGCCAGGUAGGUCUGCUGUGAAAACUCGAGGCUUAACCUCGAGCUGUCGGCGGAAACCAUCUGGCUAGAGUCCGGAAGAGGAGAAUGGAAUUCCCGGUGUGGCGGUGAAAUGCGCAGAUAUCGGGAAGAACACCCGUGGCGAAGGCGGUUCUCUGGGACGGUACUGACGCUGAGACGCGAAAGCGUGGGGAGCGAACAGG
This 253-nucleotide ribosomal RNA is filed under the name uncultured bacterium. Its description in RNAcentral is "partial 16S ribosomal RNA". It matches the Rfam family "Bacterial small subunit ribosomal RNA", at positions 524 to 776 of the family's 1533-position model. The record is from RNAcentral.